This 426-nucleotide ribosomal RNA is filed under the name uncultured bacterium. Its description in RNAcentral is "bacterial SSU rRNA". It matches the Rfam family "Bacterial small subunit ribosomal RNA", at positions 76 to 518 of the family's 1533-position model. The record is from RNAcentral.
UGGGAAGUUAAAUGACUGAGUGGCGGACGGGUGAGUAACGCGUGGAUAACCUACCAUAGUACAGGGGGACAACAGUUGGAAACGACUGCUAAUACCGCAUAAGCGCACAGUGCCGCAUGGCACGGUGUGAAAAACUCCGGUGGUAUAUGAUGGAUCCGCGUCUGAUUAGCUAGUUGGUGAGGUAACGGCCCACCAAGGCAACGAUCAGUAGCCGACCUGAGAGGGUGACCGGCCACAUUGGGACUGAGACACGGCCCAAACUCCUACGGGAGGCAGCAGUGGGGAAUAUUGCACAAUGGGCGAAAGCCUGAUGCAAGCGACGCCGCGUGAGCGAAGAAGUAUUUCGGUAUGUAAAGCUCUAUCAGCAGGGAAGAAAAUGACGGUACCUGACUAAGAAGCCCCGGCUAACUACGUGCCAGCCGCAGC